UUUUUAAAAAUGAAAGAGUUACGAUCCUUCCAUAUGCACCAUAAAAUAGUGGCAACCAGUUCAAAAUUAGGUGAGCUUCUUUGUUCAGCCAAAUACUCGCUUAACCAUUCAUCAAAUCUUGUCAGACCCACUCGUUCUAUUCGGGCUUGCAGUGUGGGCUCAUUCCAGAUUCUUGUUGUCCAGGGGCAGAGCAGCAAGGUGUGCUCAAUCGUCUCCGGUUCCUGCUUACAUAUUGGGCAUAAGGGAUCAGGUACAAUCUUCCUCUUAUAUAGAUUAUCCAUAGUAUGAAGUGCAUUUUGGCAGGCACUCCAUAGGAAGAAUUUGACUUUCGGUUGUAUGACGGAGUUCCAAAUACGUUUCCAUAAUUCUGGCUUGAAUUGGUGCGAUGUAGUUGGUGUUGACUCCCGAUGAUUAGUUGGUUUUCUGUUUGAGAAGUAGGCACUCUUUACCGUAUAGUUUCCUGACUUAUUUUUUGUCCAAACCAGUUUGUCUUCUGUUGUUGGGAGGCCUAGAGGUAUUGCUUUGAUUGCCGUCACUAGUUGUUCUUCGAAUAAAGAUCGCAGUAGGUCUUCCUUCCACUGUCCAGCUUCAACAUCAAUCAAGUCAGCAACUUUACUUGGUUCAAAAGGGCUAACAAAUCCUCCAAUAGUUCCUAUUUUGAGCCACCUAUCCUCUCUAAUUGAGAUAUUUUGCCCAUUUCCCACUGCCCACAUGACUUGAGGAGCAAUUGCAUCUCUCCCUGUUAAUAAGCUUUGCCAGCCCCACGAUGGACGGGAGCCUUUUGCUGCACGCCAAAAAUCACAAUUGGGAAAGUAUAGACCUUUCAUGAUUUGAGUCCAAAGUGAGUUCUGACUUUGAGAAAUCCUCCAAGCUUGUUUCCCUAGCAUGGCAGAGUUAAAGGCCAUUAAGUCCUUAAAUCCAAGCCCGCCUUCCUCCUUGCGAAGUUUUAGGAUAUCCCAUUUUCUCCAGUGCAAACCAGUUGUCUUGUUAGUAUUCCGCCACCAGAAGUUAGCAAUGUUUUUCUCAAUGGCUUUGAUAAUGGAAAUCGGGAUUUUAAAGAUUGACAUUGCAUAUUGAGGGAUUGCCUGAACUACUGAUUUUAGAAGAAUCUCCUUUCCAGCUCUUGAUAGGAGGUUUUCUUUCCAGCUUUCCAAUUUCGAGUUUACCCUGGCCAGUAUCCAUGCAAACAUAUCUUUUUUCGAGGCCCCCCAGUCUGACGGGAUGCCUAAGUAUUUCCCAGUUUUUGCAAUUUCAGGUACCCUCAGCAUUGUAACCAUAUUUCUUCUAAGGCUGUCUGGGCACCCUUUACUGAAAAAAAAAUCCCAGAUUUGUUUAGAUUUAUGGCCUGUCCAGAUGCAUAGCAAUAUUGGUGGAGAAUAGAUGCCAAAUUUUGGCAUUCCAGUAUCGUUCCAUCUAGGAAGAAAAUGGAAUCGUCUGCAAAUAGUAGGUGGGAAAGGGUUGGACAGUUUCGGUUCAGUUUAAUGCCAUGGAUUGUCUCCUUUAAGAGAGCUGUCUUCAUCAUAUGUGAAAGGACAUUCGCUACAAUAAUGAACAGAUAUGGGGAUAGAGGAUCGCCUUCGCGUAUACCCCGAGAUGGCAUGAAGAAAGGUAAAGAUUCACCAUUAAAUCUGAUGCUGUAGGACACUGUAGAAACGCACUGCAUAACCCACUUUACCCAAUUAGCGCUAAAGUCCAUUUUACAUAAGCACUCCUGUAGGAAAUCCCACUCGAUUCUAUCAUAAGCUUUCUUCAUGUCGAGUUUUAGGAUGGCUUGGAAAUGCUUCCUCUUAUCUCUCGUUCUUAGUUUGUGGAUAACUUCUUGAACAAUCAAAAUAUUGUCUUGGAUUUGUCGACUCCCUACGAAAGCAGUUUGCUCUUUAACAAUGAUGUCCGGUAGAAAAGGUUUCAGUCUGUUGGCGAGGAUUUUAGAGAUGAUUUUGUAUAUGAAGUUACAAAGGCUUAUGGGCCGGAACUGAUCUAAUCUUUCAGGAUUUUUGAUUUUGGGGAUAAGAAUAAUCUGGGUUCUAUUCAUGGCUGGGUUGAUAGUUCCCAUUUCAAAGAAAAGCUGCACUUCCCUAAGAAUGUCUUCGCCUAUGUCGUGCCAGUGCUGCUGAAAAAAGAGGCCAUUCAGACCAUCUGGGCCGGGAGCUUUGGUGGCACCCAAUUGGUGAGUUGCAGCAUAAACUUCUUCCAUAGUAACGUCUUUAGUAAGCUGAAGAUUCAUUACUGCAUCCACUGAUGUUGGAAUGUGAUUUAAAAUAGGCUGAAAAUUCCGAGGACCUGUUGAAGUAUACAAGUUGCUGAAGAAUUCCAUCGUCAUGUGUUUGAGGGUCUGAUUGUCCCUCACCCAGUCUCCUUCUUCAGUCAUCAGCAUGGUAAUACAGUUUCUAUUUCUCCUUUGUAUAGUUGUGGCAUGAAAGAAUUUUGUAUUUCUGUCUCCCCAUUUGAGCCACUUAAUUCUAGAUCUUAUUCCCCAGAACAUUUCUUCUUGUCGCCAGAGAUCUUCGAUUUCUUUAUGGAUAGUCUGAAUUCUGCUCUGAUCAAACUUCAAUGUAGGGCUGUUCAUCCGAUAUUGGAGCUCAUUUUUCAGGCCUUCGAUUUUUUUAUAUGCGUUGGGGAAUCGGUUUUUACUCCAGGCCUCUAAUCGAGUAGCCACAUUGGUAAGUUUCUCUACCAUAUUUUUCCGGUGGGAGUCCUCCCAUGUUCGUUUGACAAUACGCUUACAGUCCUCAUCUUCUGCCCAAAAUGGCUCAUAUCUAAACUCUCUUUUUCUGCGUGCCAGAGUGGGGGAAGUUGACAAAAUGAGAGGACUAUGAUCUGAACCAAUAGCUGGUAGGGCGGUAACAUCGGCAUUUGAGUAAGAUAUUCUCCAAUCUAUGGUACAAAUUGCUCUGUCCAGCCUUUCUCUAACAUUUGCAGUACCCUCUCUUCUGUUCGUCCAGGUAAAGGCGCACCCUUUGCUUUCUAGGUCCAUCAAAGAACAAGCAUAUAGGAAGUCCCUGAAAGCGAUAAGUCGAAAAUGAUCUGCCAUCCUCUUUCCCACUUUUUCCCAAUGGUAUAAUAUUUCAUUAAAGUCCCCGAUGCAUAACCAAGGGAGGUGAUUGGAUGCACUAACCCUUUGUAUUUCGUCCCAAAGGAUAAUUCUGUCAUGGAAUGCAUUAGGAGCGUGGAGAAAGAUAAUUCGCAUAGAUUGUUUGCUGUCAUGUAGGAGGCAUUGCACAUUGAUGAUAUAUUCGGAGUGAGAGUCGAUUGAAAUAGAUACCCGGUCAUCCCAAAAAAGAGCCAAACCCCCCGAUAACCCAUCUGGAUUCACCAAAAAACUGUUAUUGACCUUAAGUCGUCUUCGUAGUCUUUGCACCUUCUGCUCUUGAUUCUUUGUUUCCAUAAGAAAAAUAAUGUUCGGUUUUUCUUGAGUCACAAGGACUCUAAGAGACUGAAUUGUCAGGGAGGAACCCAACCCCUGACAAUUCCAACUCAUUAGUUUCAUGGUUGCACCGGUGGCUUAUUAGGGCUAGCCACCAAAGCCCGUUGAUUUGAUGUAUCUUCUUCCAUGACAGGAAUGUCUAUCAGAUGAGAGUGAUCUGCACCAGUUGUCCUUGAGGAUUGAGCUCCAUAGGGGCAGAAUCUUUUACCUUUCUUAGAUGGAUGGAUCUUGGUAGACCUGGCUUUACCUUUAGCUGGAUCUUUUUCUACCUGUAAGCAUAGCUGCUGCUUUCUUUCAUUUUCUUUAAUCCGUUCUUUGUGCAAGGUCAGCAUGGAUUCCGAGUCCAAGCAGCUGCUAUCCUGCUUCUGUGAAUUUUUUCCAUCGAAAAUGGUGAUAGCUCGGGAAGAGCCAAGGUGAUCAGGUUGCUGUUGAGGUCGUAUCUCAGCAGGAAUAAUGGCUGGUUGAGGUGCAAGGGUGUCACUAGCCAGGGGAGAUUCCGGCACAAUUUCGUCAUCUUCAAUAACCUAUGGAUGCUGGCCAUAAUAUAUUUUUCCAUAGGGGCUUAGAUUCCGGACCUCAGCACAUAACCAGCUCCCGAAGUUGCCCGGUAAGUCUUCAUCCAUCCCUGUAGAUGCAUAAGGUAUCUCUUGACAAGCAGUGGCGUAAUGACCAAUUCUACCACAAGAGUAGCAAAAGUGAGGCAGUCGCUCGUAUUUGUAUUCGAUCCACAAUUUUUUGGUUCCCAAAUUAACUACAACCCCUGUUUUAAGAGGUUUAGCUAAAUUCAACUUGAUUUUUGCCUUCCCAAUCUUAUAGUGACUACUCCCUCUUGCUUCCAGUUUAAUCUCAAGGACUUCACCAACCUUGGAGGCAAGCUCACGAACUACCGCCUCCGUAACUCUGCCGAAGGGUAAUCCAAACAUAUGCACCCAAAAUGGACAGUAAGAGAAGUCGUAGCAAAUGUCAGGAAUGUCAGGAUCGCAUUGUUGGAGCACAAGGAGGUUACUGGAAAAGGACCAAGGACCAUUCUCUAGUACUUUCCUCUUCUCAGCUUCGGAUUUAAAGGAGAAUGAAAAGAAACCCGGUUCUAACACAGUACAGGAAACUUUCUCUGUUCUCCAAGCUAGUUUCAUAGUGCUGAGAAAUGCCUGGAAAUUAACGUUCGGGCGAGAAUAGAGCUUGCCAAAUAAGGUAAGCUUGCAUUCAAAAAGUUUUUCAGCAGAGAUUCCCUGAGUAACAUCAAUAAUAUCUUCCUCAGACCAUAAAUUUCCCAGGCUUUUACACAGCGCCUCUAACCUGUUCGCUUCUAUAAUUGGAUUAGCCAUGUUACCUACUGCAAUUAAUCUGAGGAAUAUAAACCAAAGGCCACCUUAUAAGAGAAAAGGCAGUCCAGACACUGAAGCAAGAGCAGGGGGAGCCUCCGGGGAACAACAAAAAGCAUUGAUUUGAACCUUGUAGAGUAGAUAGGGAAGGAUGAAGCUCGGGCACACCCAACCCGUCAAUAAGUGCACUGCUUAGUUGCAGGGGAAGCAGUCGAGGUAAAGAACGGUGAGAAAUUUUCACGAAGGGGAUGGUGGAUUGCUAGAGAUGGGUGUGGUCGGGAAUGCGAACAGCAAAGCGAGCGGUGGAAAUAGGGAAACUUGUGGCUGGAGGUAAGGGAUGUAAGAAAAGGAUGGAAAUUAGGGAUGGGAAAAGCUCGCAAGAACGAACUAACAAAUGUUAGGGUUUUUCAAAAUGAAGGAGACGACCAGGGAAAGAGAAAGGUGAGUCGGUGGGAAAUUGCUGCUACAUCGUGAGAAGGGGAGGUUAAGAAAGGUUUUACACUGGAGGAGACGUCCACAAAAAGGAACGGGUAAAACUACCUUCCGAUAGAGAGGAGCCCAGAUCGCCUGGGAGCUCUG
RNAcentral lists this long non-coding RNA (5325 nucleotides) under Eucalyptus grandis. RNAcentral describes it as "long non-coding RNA (EGRA_LNC006636)". The record is from RNAcentral. Lineage: Eukaryota; Viridiplantae; Streptophyta; Magnoliopsida; Myrtales; Myrtaceae.